GUCUCAGUUCGGAUUGUAGUCUGCAACUCGACUACAUGAAGCUGGAAUCGCUAGCAAUCGCGAAUCAGAAUGUCGCGGUGAAUACGUUCCCGGGUCUUGUACACACCGCCCGUCACACCAUGGGAGUCGGUAACGCCCGAAGUCAGUGACCCAACCAAUCCGGAGGGAGCUGCCGAAGGCGGGAUCGGUAACUGGGGUGAAGUCGUAACAAGGUACC
RNAcentral lists this ribosomal RNA (217 nucleotides) under uncultured bacterium. Its description in RNAcentral is "partial 16S ribosomal RNA". It matches the Rfam family "Bacterial small subunit ribosomal RNA", at positions 1285 to 1500 of the family's 1533-position model. The record is from RNAcentral.